ACGCUAGCUACAGGCUUAACACAUGCAAGUCGAGGGGCAGCAUGGUCUUAGCUUGCUAAGGCCGAUGGCGACCGGCGCACGGGUGAGUAACACGUAUCCAACCUGCCGUCUACUCUUGGACAGCCUUCUGAAAGGAAGAUUAAUACAAGAUGGCAUCAUGAGUCCGCAUGUUCACAUGAUUAAAGGUAUUCCGGUAGACGAUGGGGAUGCGUUCCAUUAGAUAGUAGGCGGGGUAACGGCCCACCUAGUCUUCGAUGGAUAGGGGUUCUGAGAGGAAGGUCCCCCACAUUGGAACUGAGACACGGUCCAAACUCCUACGGGAGGCAGCAGUGAGGAAUAUUGGUCAAUGGGCGAGAGCCUGAACCAGCCAAGUAGCGUGAAGGAUGACUGCCCUAUGGGUUGUAAACUUCUUUUAUAAAGGAAUAAAGUCGGGUAUGGAUACCCGUUUGCAUGUACUUUAUGAAUAAGGAUCGGCUAACUCCGUGCCAGCAGCCGCGGUAAUACGGAGGAUCCGAGCGUUAUCCGGAUUUAUUGGGUUUAAAGGGAGCGUAGAUGGAUAUUUAAGUCAGUUGUGAAAGUUUGCGGCUCAACCGUAAAAUUGCAGUUGAUACUGGAUAUCUUGAGUGCAGUUGAGGCAGGCGGAAUUCGUGGUGUAGCGGUGAAAUGCUUAGAUAUCACGAAGAACUCCGAUUGCGAAGGCAGCCUGCUAAGCUGCAACUGACAUUGAGGCUCGAAAGUGUGGGUAUCAAACAGG
Molecule: ribosomal RNA, 754 nt
Filed under: uncultured Bacteroidales bacterium
Lineage: Bacteria; Pseudomonadati; Bacteroidota; Bacteroidia; Bacteroidales
Description: bacterial SSU rRNA
Rfam family: Bacterial small subunit ribosomal RNA
Source: RNAcentral